AACGCACCUUGCGCUCUAUGGCAAUCCGUAGAGCAUGCCUGUUUGAGUGCCAUGAAAUCUCCCACCCCAAGCGGUUUUUAAAUGAAACGGCUUGGCGGAUGGGGUCUGGAUGGGUGCCUCUGCCUGCGCUACCUAGCACAGGCUCGCCCGAAAUGCAUGAGUGCCUUGAGACACUUUGCAUCCGCCUCUCUGUUUGGGAGGAGGCGGCCAAGCAGUGUUUUUCUCCUGGCAUGGCAUGAUACGUCAUUUGCUAUGUCACCUAAAGGAGGAAUGUUUGGUUGUGUCUGCGUGUGCUUCAAACUUGCCUCUGUGGCACAUCCCAAUUUCACUUCUGGUCUCAAAUCAGGUAGGAUCACCCGCUGAACUUAA
RNAcentral lists this unclassified non-coding RNA (369 nucleotides) under uncultured Malassezia. RNAcentral's name for it is "sequence contains ITS2". Lineage: Eukaryota; Fungi; Basidiomycota; Malasseziomycetes; Malasseziales; Malasseziaceae. The record is from RNAcentral.